UUUUCUUUGCAAUUUUUAUUUUCUUUUCCAGUCAAUCUUUCAGCACUUAAUUAAUUUUUCACACAAUAGUUUCUACACCGGAAACUAUUGUGUAUCUUUUACCGGAUCUAACCUUACGUUAGACCCUAGGUUUUUUAUUCCUUCACUUUUAUUUUCCUGUCCGAUUGAAGAAUUCAAGAACAAAUCCAACCGGUCUGUGGUGG
Molecule: long non-coding RNA, 203 nt
Filed under: Lathyrus oleraceus (garden pea)
Lineage: Eukaryota; Viridiplantae; Streptophyta; Magnoliopsida; Fabales; Fabaceae
Description: Pisum sativum (pea) long non-coding RNA (PSAT_LNC009918)
Source: RNAcentral